AGGUUCUCCCCUGCUUGCAAACUACUCCGCGGUCCCUCACCAGCCACGCAGGUGAGUCAAGGAUGCUCUCAGCCAAGAUCACGGCUGGCACGAGCAGGAACAUCUGCUGCCUCUGCGCUUCUCGGAGCCAGAAAUAGAAAGAACGAGCUGCUCUGCAAAUGCCAAGCGCCGAUGCCAAAGGGCCGUGUCAACAAAGAAGAAUGAGUGUGGCUGUUAGAGGCUGCUAUUAAAAAAGGGUGGAGAGGAGAGAGGAGGGAGGGGGAAAG
Long non-coding RNA from Oxyura jamaicensis (ruddy duck), 266 nucleotides. RefSeq lists it as uncharacterized. The transcript is spliced from 2 exons. The record is from RefSeq and is a predicted model, not a curated record. NCBI's taxonomy places the organism in Eukaryota, Metazoa, Chordata, Aves, Anseriformes, Anatidae.